GAUGAAGAACGUAGCGAAAUGCGAUAAGUAGUGUGAAUUGCAGAAUUCAGUGAAUCAUCGAAUCUUUGAACGCACAUUGCGCCCCUUGGUAUUCCAUGGGGCAUGCCUGUUCGAGCGUCAUUUGUACCCUCAAGCUCUGCUUGGUGUUGGGCGUCUGUCCUGCCUCACGGCGCGGACUCGCCUCAAAUCUAUUGGCGGCCGGCACGUUGGCUUCGAGCGCAGCAGAAACGCGAACUCGAGACCGGCGGAUCGGCUCCCAGAAGCUACCCCCAUGAAUUUGACCUCGGAUCGGGUAGGACUACCCGCUGAACUUAAGCAUAUCAAUAAGCGGAGGA
Molecule: unclassified non-coding RNA, 335 nt
Filed under: soil metagenome
Description: partial contains 5.8S ribosomal RNA, internal transcribed spacer 2, and large subunit ribosomal RNA
Rfam family: 5.8S ribosomal RNA (bases 1-120)
Source: RNAcentral